Emys orbicularis (European pond turtle) is the source of this 630-nucleotide long non-coding RNA. RefSeq lists it as uncharacterized. The record is from RefSeq and is a predicted model, not a curated record. The transcript is spliced from 3 exons. Lineage: Eukaryota; Metazoa; Chordata; Testudines; Emydidae.
UCUAGCAUCCAGAGCAAGGGAGAGGCCGGAGCGGCAUGUGUCCCGCUGUCGGGCCGGGCCGCCGAGAGCUCCCGGGCUCCGUGACUCCGGCGUUUGCUGAACGUCAGGGAAGAUUGUUUGCAACAUGGGGGAUAAAUAAAAUUGGACAUUUGAAUUCCUAUGGCAAGAGUGAAAUAUCAGCAGACACAGGCAAGGACACCUAUUAGACAUAGGACUAGUCCCAAUUGUUAAUCAUUACUUACUCUCACCAUUGAAAAGGUAGAAAUCCAGAGUAACUUCACACACUUCAGUGGAGCUAGAAGUAAGUGACUUGCAUCAUGUAAGAGCAGAAUUUGGACCUAAUUCUCAAAAUGUGUAUGAUUUGCAGACAUAUCUUAAUGCUUGAAAAAGGAGAGGCUCCAGUCAUAUUAAGAUGUGAAUGUUGCCAAGUUUGUUCCUCUCCCCCCUACAAACGGGAACUUUCCCAUUAUUUCCAUUGGGUGCAGCUCGUCAAAGUGAUUCUGAUGACAUUGUUACCAAAAAAUUGAGGGCCCCCCAAUAAUACAGCAUGAUUUAAAAAGUUAAAAUUACGGUGGAGGAAUGUAAUGGAACAGGGUUAGAGUCCACUCUGGUCAGUGCUCAGCUUUUUAU